This 739-nucleotide ribosomal RNA is filed under the name Entoloma clypeatum. RNAcentral describes it as "eukaryotic LSU rRNA". It matches the Rfam family "Eukaryotic large subunit ribosomal RNA", at positions 75 to 800 of the family's 3401-position model. Lineage: Eukaryota; Fungi; Basidiomycota; Agaricomycetes; Agaricales; Entolomataceae. The record is from RNAcentral.
UUCCCCUAGUAACUGCGAGUGAAGCGGGAAAAGCUCAAAUUUAAAAUCUGGUAGUCUUUGGCUGCCCGAGUUGUAAUCUAGAGAAGUGUUAUCCGCACUGGACCGUGUACAAGUCUCCUGGAAUGGAGCGUCAUAGAGGGUGAGAAUCCCGUCUUUGACACGGACUACCAGGGCUUUGUGAUGCGCUCUCAAAGAGUCGAGUUGUUUGGGAAUGCAGCUCUAAAUGGGUGGUAAAUUCCAUCUAAAGCUAAAUAUUGGCGAGAGACCGAUAGCGAACAAGUACCGUGAGGGAAAGAUGAAAAGAACUUUGGAAAGAGAGUUAAACAGUACGUGAAAUUGUUGAAAGGGAAACGCUUGAAGUCAGUCGUGUUGGCCAGGGAUCAACCUUGCUUCUUGCUUGGUGUACUUUCUGGUUAAUGGGUCAGCAUCAAUUUUGACCAGUGGAAAAAGACUAGGGGAAUGUGGCAUCUUCGGAUGUGUUAUAGCCCUUGGUUGCAUACACUGGUUGGGAUUGAGGAACUCAGCACGCCGCAAGGCCGGGUUUUUACCACGUUCGUGCUUAGGAUGCUGGCAUAAUGGCUUUAAUCGACCCGUCUUGAAACACGGACCAAGGAGUCUAACAUACCUGCGAGUGUUUGGGUGGAAAACCCAAGCGCGCAAUGAAAGUGAAAGUUGGGAUCUCUGUCGUGGGGAGCACCGAUGCCCGGACCAGACCUUCUGUGACGGUUCCGCGGUGGAG